Molecule: long non-coding RNA, 1129 nt
Organism: Monodelphis domestica (gray short-tailed opossum)
Lineage: Eukaryota; Metazoa; Chordata; Mammalia; Didelphimorphia; Didelphidae
Source: RefSeq, a predicted model, not a curated record
AGGACCUAUGUGCCAGGGACCCCAUCCAUAAGGGGACUGCAAGAAUCACUCCUAUCUAUACAACAAUGGUACUUUGCUCUGCACAACUUCAUGAGGGUCCCACCAGUUGAGGAAAGUCAACUAUGGUACAGUAGAAAGAGUCCUGGACUGGGAAGUCUGGGGACCCAAGUUCUAGUCCUGAUCCUGAUACAAACUAACUGAUACAAACUAACCUCAGACAAGUCACUCUGGUCCCCAGGUACCUCCGCCAUAAAAUGAAGGUCCUGGAAUAGACAAUUUCCCAGGGCAGCCAACUCCAUCAUCUCCUAACCCACUGCAGGACUCCAUCAUGCCCCUGGGCUGGGUACUACCUCCUCCCCCUUCAGCUUAUCUUCACAGGGUAGCUUCCUCCAUUAGUCUUCAGGGAGGUUUUACAGUCAAUAGAACGCUGGACCUGAAGUCUAGAAGAAUUGUCUUCCUGAGUUCAGAUGCUUACUAGCUGUGUGACCCUGGGCAAUGAUACCAGGCCACCCACGUCGAAGCCUUCCAGCCUCUCAGUUUGCUACAGAGGAUGAGAGUCCCAGAAUGCCAAGAAUGGGAUGGGGACCUUCACGAUCGCCUAGUCCACUCCCUUCAUUGAACAGCUGGAGAACGAGCACCAGAGAGAUGAUGUUAUAUGCUAAAGAUCCCACAGUCAAUGGGCAUAGAGUUAGGACUAGAACCCAUUUUCUUAAAGAAUCCUAAUCUGCAAGUCUUGCCAUACCAUGCAAACUUUCCAGUCCUUGACUUGGCGAUGACUCAUGGGAGCCAUUUCAUGUCAUUUCCACUACCUACUUGCUACGUUCAAUCUUCCAGCUCUUACCUCCUGUCUGUUGCUCUGGGCAUCCAAGACCAAGUUUUACUACUCAUUUCUAAGAAGCAGGACUUCUUGAGGUGCUCUUCUGAGGUGAGAAGGUCCCCCGUGUCUGAAAUGCAGCCCAUUCUCUCCUCCUUCUAGAAGAUUCUCUAGCUUGCUUUAAUGCAUAGCUCAGUUGCCAUGAACUCUUUCCUGAUUCCUCCUCUCACUCCAUAGCUUUUAAGACUGUCUCAUCUUGAAGUGACUUUGUAUUACUUUAUUUACUUUCUGGUUAAAUGUGUCCAUUCUCUAUAA